Molecule: ribosomal RNA, 136 nt
Filed under: Clostridioides difficile
Lineage: Bacteria; Bacillati; Bacillota; Clostridia; Peptostreptococcales; Peptostreptococcaceae
Description: partial 23S ribosomal RNA
Rfam family: Bacterial large subunit ribosomal RNA
Source: RNAcentral
GCGAAGCCAACUUCAAGAUAAGAUUUCCCACCGCAAGGGGUAAGACCCCAGAAAGACUAUCUGGUUGAUAGGUCGAAGGUGUAAGUGCAGCAAUGUAUUUAGCUUAUCGAUACUAAUAGGUCGAGGACUUGACCAA